UUUCAAUCUUGGAUUGAUUCAGCUGAAAAAGAAAUAGAUAAAGCGUCUGCAGAAAAUAAAGAAAUUAUACUCUUAGGAGAUUUUAAUAUAAACUUUUCACAUAUAAAUCAUACAGUUGUCGGAAACCAAAAAUGGAAGGACUGUAUUAAUUUGUAUGGUUUACAACAAAUUGUAAAUAAACCGACACGAGUAACAGAUAAAUGUGCAACUACCAUAGACCAUAUAUAUACGACCGAUGUAGACCAUAUUAUAGAAGUAAAGGUGCCUAGCUAUGCUGUCAGUGAUCAUUAUCCUGUUUGCGUAACAAGAAAACUUAACCCAAAAAUAUCAAAAAUAGAGCAUUUGUCCAUAGAAUAUAGAUCAUUCAAACAAUUUGAUAAAAAUAAAUUUAUUGAAAAUUUAACAAAUACUCCUUUUUAUCUCAUUGAAUCGAUUGGAGAUGUUGAUGAAGCAGCUAAUUAUUGGUAUAAUUUAUUUCUCAGCACCCUAGACAAACAUGCUCCUAAGAAAAUUAAAAGGGUAAAAAACACCCAACAACCAGAGUGGUGGACUUCUGAUAUAAAUAGCGCUAGACACCAAAGAGAUUAUUUUCAAAGAAUUGGUGAUAUAUAUAAUUAUAAAAUUUGGCGUAAUAAGGUUACAUUUUUAGUAGAACAGGC
This 659-nucleotide long non-coding RNA is filed under the name Mytilus galloprovincialis (Mediterranean mussel). The record is from RNAcentral. Lineage: Eukaryota; Metazoa; Mollusca; Bivalvia; Mytilida; Mytilidae.